Molecule: ribosomal RNA, 365 nt
Filed under: uncultured eukaryote
Lineage: Eukaryota
Description: partial 18S ribosomal RNA
Rfam family: Eukaryotic small subunit ribosomal RNA
Source: RNAcentral
CAAUAGCGUAUAUUAAAGUUGUUGCAGUUAAAAAGCUCGUAGUUGAAUUUCUGGUGGGCGCGCCGGUCUUCCAAGUGUUGUACUGGGCGCAGUCCGCCAUCCUUGUGGAGAGGGCUCGCAUUGAUUUGCGUGUCGGAUCUGCAUCAUUUACUGUGAAAAAAUUAGAGUGUUUAAAGCAGGCUAUCGCUUGAAUGCAUUAGCAUGGAAUAAUAAGAUAGGACUUCGGUCUAUUUUGUUGGUUGCGAACCGAGGUAAUGAUUAAUAGGGAUAGUUGGGGGUAUUCAUAUUUAAUUGUCAGAGGUGAAAUUCUUGGAUUUAUGAAAGAUGAACAACUGCGAAAGCAUUUACCAAGGAUGUUUUCAUUA